Long non-coding RNA from Paramisgurnus dabryanus, 993 nucleotides. RefSeq lists it as uncharacterized. The record is from RefSeq and is a predicted model, not a curated record. Lineage: Eukaryota; Metazoa; Chordata; Actinopteri; Cypriniformes; Cobitidae.
AGACACUCGAUCUGACGCGAGAGUGUUCUUUUGAUUAAAUAUAAACUGAAGAAAUCAGAAUUUAACUUGCAUAUAUUCAAUGAUACAGCGUGAUUGUGUGGAUUGAGCACUUUUUGAGCUUUCAUUUUGACCUGUGUGAUUAUGUAAAACCACAUGGUGCGUUGUGUUCACUGCUGUUCGCUGACGCCAUUUUGGUUGCACGUGCCUGUGAAAGACAAAAAGAGAGAGAAACACGUGAAUGGACAGCUGGAUUUUCCUAAUUGAUGGCGAGCCUCCCAUUUCGACCUGAUUGGAUCACGAAUCUAGAGGAAAGGACAAUUUUCUAUUUUAAAUAUUUUUCUUCAGACAAGUAAGAGGAUACAAACCGUUUCCUUAUUUUGUUUGUUUACUUUAUUGAACUGAAACAUUUCAGAAGCACAAUUCUGAUAAUUUAAGACUGAUCAAUACUCCAAUUGAUAAGAACUUGGAACUUGAAUACUGAUUUCAGUUUGUUACAUAUAUAAUUUGUACCAUCUUUGUACAUUGAUUGUGACUGUGAUUUCUGUAAAUGAGAAGUAAUUUAGAGGGUGCACCCAUAGUAUAUAUAGUUAAUUGUAUUUUCAUUGUUGUUACUAUUUUUUGUGAUUACGGAAAGAAAUAGAAAGGUUUCUCAAUACUCAAAGUAAAAUAAUUUAUUAAUCAACUUACCUUCUGUCUCUGCUUGUUGCUCACUAUCACUGCUACCUCCUCCUUCGUACGGUGCACCAUUCUGAUCUUAUUAUUAUGCCUGGUCCAUAAGUAAGUGAGUUAAUACCCGCUACAUAAAGAAAGUACACUUUCAUGGCAAUAUUUCUAAACACAUUUAAUAAAUGAUCAUUAGACUGAUGUGACCUACCAAAGACUUGUUAAUUUAAAGUUCAUGCAAUUAUUUUUUAGUUGUCUGUUAAAAUGUAAAAAAAAAAAUAACUUUGAGUUUAUUUUUUUCUAAGGGAUGUAAUUAUUCAAUAUUGAUAG